RNAcentral lists this long non-coding RNA (233 nucleotides) under Prunus persica (peach). Its description in RNAcentral is "long non-coding RNA (PPER_LNC001603)". The record is from RNAcentral. Lineage: Eukaryota; Viridiplantae; Streptophyta; Magnoliopsida; Rosales; Rosaceae.
ACAAAAUAAUUAUCUACCAAACUUAUUUUAUGCUCGUUUCAUGCCAAUGUAAUGGGGCCUAAUGGGUGUCAUUAUGCGUUAGCUUUAGAACAUGAUGUUAAUGUUACAGGAAAGCUUAAGUGCAUGAAAUGCAUGAAUUACAUUAAACACACGUCUUAACACUGUUGCGGAAUUAUCAUUUCCUUGUUGUUUUGUUGAUGUCACAUGUUGGGUGUGCAUGCCUUCUAAUUGGU